AUUGUAGCUCCAUCUCUUCAGUUACCAUGGAGCCUAUUGAGAUCAUGUAUAUCCUUUCUUGAACGGUUAAUGACAAUACUGGCACCAAUAUGUUUCAGUGUGAUAAUUAUGGAAAAGUGUGAAACUUACAUCAAUAUAGGGUAAUUCCACGCCAAACGGGACAACGGCUCCCACUCGACCGUCUCAGAUUUGGCUGAAAAAAAUCAAGGUUGUUCAUACACUUCUUAAUAGGUAUAGUCCAAAAUAUUAGCUCUCUACUCCCAAUAGUUUUGUCACAAAAAUAUGUUUUAGGGGGGAGGGGGUGCCUGUACUUGAGACGCUUUUUUAGCACCGUUUUCUGAAGAGCCAUUUUCAAAUUGCUAUUACUAGAAAAGUAUUUAAGCUAGCUCCUUCAAACUUUCUAGGCUUAAAAUAUGAUACCAUUACUUGAAUAUUAUGGACUUCCAAGGGUGUGGCUUGGGUAUAUCAUAGUAUUCGGGGUGCUUGAUUUUGCGCGAAAAUUGUACACUAUGCUCUGUCGCAGCAUCUUUGAAGGACUGUGGAAAGCUCGAUGUUAAAGCUAGAGAUUUGAUAUUAUACACAGACCUUCCUAUGUAUGGUCUGUACAUUGUAUUAAAAAACUGUCCCUAUGUGAUGAAUGGUCUGGAAGAUAUUAAAGCUUAAAAAUGUUUUAGUUUUUUUAAACAAAUUUUCAGCCAAAUCUGAGAUGGUCGAGUGGGGAAUUUUCCUUUAAUUGUCACGUUUGGCAUGGAAUGACCCUAUAGACAAUACAUUUUUCCUCUUUAGUAGGCAACAAGGUUAUGACGCUAAUGUUCUUUUGUGCUUCUCACAAAGUGGUAUUGAUGUACACACAAUGUUUUCCAAGAAUACAAUAGUGGCUACCUUGUCAGUUGUGAUGAUACCAUUUCCACAAAAGCUCAUCUACUGGUGAGUCUGUUUGUGUGUUUGGCCUUUGAUUCCUGUGAACACAACGAGUCUCUGAAGUGUGAGCGCCUGAAGUUCCAGAAGGACAGGAAGAAACCAGACUCCUGCCACCCUUUCCAUCCUGAGGAGAAUGCAAGGGAGUGUGGAGGCGCCUCGUGUCUCUCUCCCCACCUCACAGCUGCUCUGCUCCCGCUACUGAUCCCCCUCAUCACCAGGUGACCUUCUUGGACCCACGCUGACCUGUGAAGGCCACCUAUCAGAGAACACCAUACAGAUGACUAAUAUCAGAUGCCACCUAUCAGAGAACCCCAUACAGAUGACUAAUAUCAGAUGCCGCCUAUCAGAGAACACCAUACAGAUGACUAAUAUCAGAUGCCACCAGUCAAAGCCAACCAUGUUAAUAACCUACAAUGGAAGCCGCUAAUCAGAGCACAUCACGCUUAACCAAGAGCAAACGGUGACCUCUAUGCAUAGAAAGCCUUGCGGAUUCGGAGGGAGAUUUCCAAUUAGAGCUCACUUUGCUGUGAACAUAUAGACGAAACUGCCAUCCAGAGAGCUCAUCGCUGU
Clupea harengus (Atlantic herring) is the source of this 1491-nucleotide long non-coding RNA. The record is from Ensembl. NCBI's taxonomy places the organism in Eukaryota, Metazoa, Chordata, Actinopteri, Clupeiformes, Clupeidae.